AAUUAUAUAAUAUAAUUUUAAUAUAUUUAACUUCCAAUUAAAAAAUUUAAUUUAAUUUAAUAUAAUUA
This 68-nucleotide transfer RNA is filed under the name Scelio sp. ZJUH_2016028. RNAcentral describes it as "tRNA-Gly". Lineage: Eukaryota; Metazoa; Arthropoda; Insecta; Hymenoptera; Scelionidae. The record is from RNAcentral.